Non-coding RNA from Zea mays, 59 nucleotides. NCBI's taxonomy places the organism in Eukaryota, Viridiplantae, Streptophyta, Magnoliopsida, Poales, Poaceae. The record is from Rfam.
UAGCUCAGUUGGGUAGAGUGCUGGUCUGUCACGCCAGAAGUCGCGGGUUCGAACCCCGU